ACUUAAAAAACAGACUCAUGGUUUAAAUGGAUUCCUGCCAAGAAACAGCUCUUUAAGGUGACUUUAAUGGGGCCAGCAGGGCUGAGAACCAGGUCAAGGUUGAGCUGCUGCCUGGAUCCAUGGUGAUGUGAGGAAGUUGUAUGUCAACUUCAUUUCUUCACAUAAAAUUGCAUUCAGAAAAUACUGCACAGACAGUUGUACUGGCCCAUAAAGUGAACAGAAGCAUUUUAAUCUUUAAGAAGUUAUCUGUUCAGCUUUUUUGGUAGUUCACCUUUUAUUUUCUAACCAAAACCUUAACUCUAAUGUUGUGAGUGGGAUCAAGAAAGUUGGGGGCAGAGAGGACUCGGGAGGUUAGAGCAAACACACACACAUCCUCACACACCCACACCCCCAUCACACUCACACCCACACGCCCGUCACACACCCACACCCCCGUCACACACCCACACCCCCAUCAUACACACACACACACCCCCAUCACACUCAGACCCACACCCCGUCACACACACAGCCACACCCCCGUCACACACACCCACACCCCCGUCACACACACACACCCGUCACAAACACACACCCCCAUCACACACACACCCCCGUCACACACACACCCACACCCCAUCACACUCACACCCACACCACCGUCACACACACACACACAUCCCCGUCACACACAGUCACACCCCCGUCACACAAACCCCCGUCACACACACACACACCCGUCACACUCACACCAACACCCCGCCACACACACACACACCCCUGUCACACUCACACCCACACCCCUGCCACACUCACACCCACACCCCCGUCACACACCCACCCACACCCCCAUCACACACACAGUGACACCCCUGUCGCACACACCUGUCACACUCAUACCCACACCCCCAUCACACUCAUACCCACAUCCUUGUCACACACACACCCACACCCGUCACAUGCCCACACCCCCAUCACACUCACACCCACACCCCUGUCACACGCCCACACCCCCAUCACAUGCCAACACCCCCAUCACACACAUACCCCCAUCACACACCCACACGCCUAUCACACUCACACCCACACCCCCAUCACACACACUGACACCCCUGUCACACACACACCUGUCACACUCACACCCCCGUCACACACCCACAUCCCUGUCACACGCACCCACACCCCCGUCACACCCCACACCCCUGUCACACAUAUGCCCACACCCCCGUCACACACCCACCCACACCCCUGUCACACACACACCUCCCACACAUACCCAUGGGUGGGGAGAGCUGAGAU
Molecule: long non-coding RNA, 1278 nt
Filed under: Bos mutus (wild yak)
Lineage: Eukaryota; Metazoa; Chordata; Mammalia; Artiodactyla; Bovidae
Description: lncRNA (ENSBMUG00000011549.1)
Source: RNAcentral